Phacochoerus africanus (Common warthog) is the source of this 103-nucleotide small nuclear RNA. The record is from RefSeq and is a predicted model, not a curated record. Lineage: Eukaryota; Metazoa; Chordata; Mammalia; Artiodactyla; Suidae.
UUGCUCUGGCAGCACAUAUAUUAAAACUGGAAAGAUACAGAGAAGAUUAGCAUGGCUCUUGAGCAAGGAUGAUGUGCAAAUUUGUGAAGUGUUCCAUAUUCUU